UGCAAGUCGAGCGGAAGAAGGGAGCUUGCUCCCGGAUGUUAGCGGCGGACGGGUGAGUAACACGUGGGUAACCUGCCUGUAAGACUGGGAUAACUCCGGGAAACCGGAGCUAAUACCGGAUAGUUCCUUGAACCGCAUGGUUCAAGGAUGAAAGACGGUUUCGGCUGUCACUUACAGAUGGACCCGCGGCGCAUUAGCUAGUUGGUGAGGUAACGGCUCACCAAGGCGACGAUGCGUAGCCGACCUGAGAGGGUGAUCGGCCACACUGGGACUGAGACACGGCCCAGACUCCUACGGGAGGCAGCAGUAGGGAAUCUUCCGCAAUGGACGAAAGUCUGACGGAGCAACGCCGCGUGAGUGAUGAAGGUUUUCGGAUCGUAAAGCUCUGUUGUUAGGGAAGAACAAGUGCAAGAGUAACUGCUUGCACCUUGACGGUACCUAACCAGAAAGCCACGGCUAACUACGUGCCAGCAGCCGCGGUAAUACGUAGGUGGCAAGCGUUGUCCGGAAUUAUUGGGCGUAAAGGGCUCGCAGGCGGUUUCUUAAGUCUGAUGUGAAAGCCCCCGGCUCAACCGGGGAGGGUCAUUGGAAA
This 592-nucleotide ribosomal RNA is filed under the name Bacillus sp. CH60b_2C. RNAcentral describes it as "bacterial SSU rRNA". It matches the Rfam family "Bacterial small subunit ribosomal RNA", at positions 56 to 632 of the family's 1533-position model. The record is from RNAcentral. Lineage: Bacteria; Bacillati; Bacillota; Bacilli; Caryophanales; Bacillaceae.